RNAcentral lists this ribosomal RNA (465 nucleotides) under Vreelandella stevensii. Its description in RNAcentral is "partial 16S ribosomal RNA". It matches the Rfam family "Bacterial small subunit ribosomal RNA", at positions 338 to 795 of the family's 1533-position model. The record is from RNAcentral. Lineage: Bacteria; Pseudomonadati; Pseudomonadota; Gammaproteobacteria; Oceanospirillales; Halomonadaceae.
CCUACGGGGGGCUGCAGUGGGGAAUAUUGGACAAUGGGCGAAAGCCUGAUCCAGCCAUGCCGCGUGUGUGAAGAAGGCCUUCGGGUUGUAAAGCACUUUCAGUGGGGAAGAAAGCCUUGGGGCUAAUACCCUCGAGGAAGGACAUCACCCACAGAAGAAGCACCGGCUAACUCCGUGCCAGCAGCCGCGGUAAUACGGAGGGUGCGAGCGUUAAUCGGAAUUACUGGGCGUAAAGCGCGCGUAGGCGGUCUGAUAAGCCGGUUGUGAAAGCCCCGGGCUCAACCUGGGAACGGCAUCCGGAACUGUCAGGCUAGAGUGCAGGAGAGGAAGGUAGAAUUCCCGGUGUAGCGGUGAAAUGCGUAGAGAUUGGGAGGAAUACCAGUGGCGAAGGCGGCCUUCUGGACUGACACUGACGCUGAGGUGCGAAAGCGUGGGUAGCAAACAGGAUUAGAUACCCUAGUAGUC